RNAcentral lists this ribosomal RNA (890 nucleotides) under Candidatus Cryptobacteroides faecavium. RNAcentral's name for it is "partial 23S ribosomal RNA". It matches the Rfam family "Bacterial large subunit ribosomal RNA", at positions 1 to 909 of the family's 2925-position model. Lineage: Bacteria; Pseudomonadati; Bacteroidota; Bacteroidia; Bacteroidales. The record is from RNAcentral.
AGUGGAAGUUACAAGGGCGGACGGGGGAUGCCUAGGCUUCCGGAGGCGAAGAAGGACGCGGCAAGCUGCGAAAAUGCACGGGGAUCUGCAAGCAUGAUUUGAUCCGUGCGUGUCCGAAUGGGGCAACCCGGCGGGCUGAAGGCCCGUCACACCGCGAGGUGGGCGAACCCGGGGAACUGAAACAUCUCAGUACCCGGAGGAGGAGAAAGAAAAAUCGAUUCCCAGAGUAGUGGCGAGCGAAAUGGGAGGAGCCCAAACCGGCGCCGUCGAGGCGGAGCCGGGGUAGUAGGGCCGGCCAAAGAAUACCGGCGAUGGAACCGGAACGGCCUGGAAAGGCCGGGCGCAGAGGGUGACACCCCCGUAGGGGCAACACCGUCGGAGAUGGGCCGGCACCUGAGUAGGGCGGGACACGAGGAAUCCUGUCUGAAACCGCGGGGACCAUCCCGCAAGGCUAAAUACUACCGGAAGACCGACAGAGGACCAGUACCGUGAGGGAAAGGUGGGAAGCACCCCGAGCAGGGGAGUGAAACAGAACCUGAAACCGUCCGUCCACGAGCGGUCGGAGCCGAGAGGCGACGGCGUGCCUUUUGCAUAAUGAGCCUACGAGUUAGUCCGUGCCGGCGAGGUUAAUCCCUUAAGGGGAGGAGCCGGAGCGACAGCGAGUCUGAACAGGGCGUUCAGUCGGUGCGGCUAGACGCGAAACCUAGUGAUCUACCCUUGGCCAGGCUGAAGGCGCCGUAACAGGCGCUGGAGGGCCGGACCGGUUUACGUUGAAAAGUGCUCGGAUGAGCUGAGGGUAGGGGUGAAAGGCUAAUCAAACUGGGAGAUAGCUCGUACUCCCCGAAAUGCCUUUAGGGGCAGCCUCGCGAGAGCUUCACGGAGGUAGAGCU